This 1419-nucleotide long non-coding RNA is filed under the name Marmota monax (woodchuck). The record is from RNAcentral. Lineage: Eukaryota; Metazoa; Chordata; Mammalia; Rodentia; Sciuridae.
GGGAAAGGAAGGAUGCUUUGCUUUAGUGGGAUGAUGGCUCUUGGGCAAAGAGAGUGUGAGCAGGGUUGGACUGAGUGCAUGAGAGUGGGAGGAUGGGGUGGCCAGCGCUCCAGCCCGCCAGCCCUGCCUCCUAGGGUGGAGCCAUAUUGGACACCUGGGUCUUCAUCCCAUGGACCACCAAAGCCAGAAACAGGUCCAGCACAUAAGGGACAGGAGGCAAUUACAUACCUAGUCUGGCUGUCUCUUCUCAUUCAAAACCCUCUUCCCUUGAUUCUUUGGAUAAAGACUCUAGGUUUCCCACCCAAUAUUCAAUCUGCCUUCUUCCUUACUAACAGAGCGCUGAUUUUUAUCCUGAGGGGCAAGGUGUCAAGUCAAAAGAUGCAGAUUGCUGGCCUCCCUGGCAAGUGGCUGUGGCCAAUGGGAUAAGAACAGAGGUCAUCAGGCAGGGCUCGCAGGCAGGCCCUUCAACAGGCAACUCAGCCUUGGAGUGCAUCCCCUGGGCUCUUUCUCCUUCUUACUGCUGAAUCUGUACACAUCUACUUGUAUUUUGAGGCAAAUUUGGUGACAGAAUGACAUGCUUGAGAUAAUAAAGCAGACAUUUGGGAGGACACUAGAUAGAUGACUGCUCUAUCUGCCUAUUUUGGAACUUCUGCCUCAGAUGCCACUUGUUUGAAUUUUCUGUACUUGCAGGGAGCUCUUCUAAGUGGUUUACCUUUUCAUCCAUGCUGCUAGCAUUAGGUUGGCCAAGGAAGUCUAUUUGCUCUAACAAACAACUUUUAAAUCAUGGUAGCAUGACAGUAGAUGUCUGUCACUUGCACCAAUAGUGAUGGAGAAGUAAUGGGUUGGCUGCAACUUUCUGGGACCCAGGGGGCCCUUAUUCCCUUCUGUCCUUCUCCCCUGAACUACAUGCCCUCCUCCACAAUCUUUUUCUGCAGGCAGCGGAGGGAGCAGUGAGCAAGAAGAGCACAUGGGAGCUUUUGGAUGGGCCAGCCCCUGAUGAGGUACACUGUGCUAGAAUUCAGUGACAGGGCCACAGAGGGAGCGAGGAGGUGCAGUCUGGUUACAUGCUCAGAAGGGCAAGGAAGUGAGUCUUGGUGAGUAUGUCAGUGUUUACCAAACACAUUCAAAGAAGCAGCAAAGGAACGAGAGAAAGGGAAAUAAGAAAAGGCAAAGGAGAGGGAGGGGAAAGAAAGAAAAGGAAGAAGGGAGGGAGGAAAGAAGAAGCAAAGAAAGAAGAAAAUCAGUAAACGCUCUGUUGUUCUCUAGAGGCAAUGAAAGCAUGUUUCCUGAGACCCAAUGACACCAACGAGUCUGGAUCCAAUGCCAUGGAUUCCAGAGUGAUUUACCUGUUACCUGGUCCUCCCUUCUCCCAGGAGGGUUUGCCCCGUAGCUGCCAUGAAGCCAUGUGGAAUCACUGCC